GCUGUCCGCCGCCAUGUUUGUGUACAACUACGGCCGCCACAGAGGGACAAACUUCACAGAGGAAAGCGUCGAAACAAGGAGUAAACAGAAAUGCUUCCAGGUUCGCAGAGACAUUCCCUGAAAUAAGCUACAAAUCAUAAACAAACAAUCCUCCAUCCUGCUCUCAGAAACAAACCAGGCAGGUUUUGGACUUCGGGGAAUCAGAACCUGGCAGGCUGGAAGAACGUUGCAACUUCGGCUCCAUGCAGAGCAGCCGGUGACCAGCAGGUGUCGCUGUCUGAUCAGGGAAGCUGUUGGGCUGCAACUGCGUGACCUGCGGUUCCGAUCACCACGACGGGCAGAACCGAACACAUUCGGAGCGCAUGGCUCAGCUUGUUUCCAACAGGUCCAAAUAGUCUCAGUGGAACCAGAACCUUCGGCAGGUCAAAGGUCAUCCAGCGGUGCAAUGUUAUCAAAUGCUGCAGAGCUAGCAGUGGUUUAUUUCUGGUUUCACCCUGAUGGUACCAGAACCUGUUCGCUACCAGAACCCGGACCCAGCAACUGGAACCACCUUCCUCUAAGAAGACGAAGGGCAGAGCUUCCUGGACCUGGUUCUGGUAGCAACACGACCAAGGUGGUUCCGACUACUGGGGCUAGGUUAGACAAGGGGUCAGAGGUCAGGACUCUGGACUCAUUUCUGGAGAGGAAAGCAACGGAGACCCAGAAUCCAGUUGGGCAGGUUCUGGUUCUGGUACCAGACUGCUCAGUGAGUUGCCUGCAAAGUGAGGAAGACAAUCUUCUUCUGCAGUGGUUGCAGCGCGGCUGAUCCGGAUGUCGUCAUCACACCUGAAAUAUUCAGCAGACGCUGCGCUGCUCCACCUGACGCCGUGAUGCGCCCGCAGGUCGCCGCAUGACGCAACGCGCUGCAACUGCUGCUCCUCUUCAUCACCAGGAUGACGAGGGGAAAGAGCAGGAGAGCUGCUCCUCCUCACCUGAAACUUUUCAUAAAUCAUCUGAAUGAAAUCUGAUCAAUCUGAUCCUCCAGGCCUAAAACCUGCUCCUCUUCAUCACAGUCUUCCUCAGUGGAGACGGAGCGCGGUGUCCCUCAGAACAACUGGAUGUUUGGGAGGAAAACCUCAACACGUUAGCAUUAGCUACUACUAGCAUGACCUUUGACCCGGGAACCUAUCAAAGCAUCAGCUCUUUCAUAAACUUGAUUAAAAUUCUUAAUCCAAAUAAUUGCAGAGUCGGUAAUUCUCAGUUCAACGUGUUUUUGCUGCUAAAUCACUGAAUACAUUUCUCAUUUUUAAUCUUCCGGUUCUUCACCAGAUUGGAACAAAGUUAAUCUUUCCAUAAUUUCUGUGAUCAUUCAUUUGGCUUCUUGACAAAUGUGGACACUAACAUUAGCGUUACCUGCUACAUGUUAGCAUUGAGGUGCUAACUGCUUCGAUCACAACAUAAGCACAGCCGUGGUGUCUUCCAUCGUCCAAUCAGAUCGCUGGAAGCAGAAAUCCUGAACGACCCGCCUUAAGGUCACCUCAGGCUCGGCUCUGCUGCUGACCUUUGGGUCCGGGUUAGCUUCUGGUAGGAAGGACUCUCUGUGCGUGACCUCUGACCUCUCAAGCUGGAAGCAGAGCUGUGUAAAUGUCAGAGGAACAAACGGACCUCUGUGGCGCCGGUCGGCUGCUCCAAUCACAUGCCAGGCCCUGCAGAUUAGAACCGAGCCGGGAUAAUCUGAGGGACGAAAACACAACCAGAGUUCUGGAUCAGAACCACAGAGUUCUGGAUCAGAACAAGGCAUCCUCUUACAGAGCGACUGCAUCAGCAGCAGGAAGAGUCAAAGGUCAACCCGAAGGUCACCCAGAACAACCUGGACCAGCAGGGUCAAAGUUCAGACUGAGCUCCCACUACACCUUCAGCAGAACCAGUUCACGGAAA
Long non-coding RNA from Gambusia affinis (western mosquitofish), 1917 nucleotides. RefSeq lists it as uncharacterized. The transcript is spliced from 3 exons. NCBI's taxonomy places the organism in Eukaryota, Metazoa, Chordata, Actinopteri, Cyprinodontiformes, Poeciliidae. The record is from RefSeq and is a predicted model, not a curated record.